AUUGAACGCUGGCGGCAUGCCUUACACAUGCAAGUCGAACGGCAGCACGGGGGCAACCCUGGUGGCGAGUGGCGAACGGGUGAGUAAUGCAUCGGAACGUGUCCUCUUGUGGGGGAUAACCAGUCGAAAGAUUGGCUAAUACCGCAUGAGAUCGAAAGAUGAAAGCGGGGGACCGCAAGGCCUCGCGCGAGAGGAGCGGCCGAUGCCGGAUUAGCUAGUUGGUGGGGUAAAAGCCCACCAAGGCGACGAUCCGUAGCUGGUCUGAGAGGACGACCAGCCACACUGGGACUGAGACACGGCCCAGACUCCUACGGGAGGCAG
Molecule: ribosomal RNA, 321 nt
Filed under: uncultured Pseudomonadota bacterium
Lineage: Bacteria; Pseudomonadati; Pseudomonadota
Description: bacterial SSU rRNA
Rfam family: Bacterial small subunit ribosomal RNA
Source: RNAcentral